AACGAACGCUGGCGGCAUGCCUAACACAUGCAAGUCGAACGAGACCUUCGGGUCUAGUGGCGCACGGGUGCGUAACGCGUGGGAACCUGCCCUUAGGUUCGGAAUAACUCCCCGAAAGGGGUGCUAAUACCGGAUAAUGUCUUCGGACCAAAGAUUUAUCGCCUUUGGAUGGGCCCGCGUUGGAUUAGCUAGUUGUUAGGGUAAAAGCCUACCAAGGCGACGAUCCAUAGCUGGUCUGAGAGGAUGAUCAGCCACACUGGGACUGAGACACGGCCCAGACUCCUACGGGAGGCAGCAGUGGGGAAUAUUGGACAAUGGGCGAAAGCCUGAUCCGGCAAUGCCGCGUGAGUGAUGAAGGCCUUAGGGUUGUAAAGCUCUUUUACCCGGGAUGAUAAUGACAGUACCGGGAGAAUAAGCUCCGGCUAACUCCGUG
Molecule: ribosomal RNA, 433 nt
Filed under: uncultured bacterium
Lineage: Bacteria
Description: partial 16S ribosomal RNA
Rfam family: Bacterial small subunit ribosomal RNA
Source: RNAcentral